AUUUAAAUCAGUAAAAGUUUUAUAAAAGGAAAAUGAAGAGAAAAAAAACUGAGAAAUAGAGUCUCCCCUGGCCAAGGUCAUUUUUCAUUUAUUGUUCUUAUCUCUUUUGGAGAACCAUUUGGACCUAUUUAUAUCUGAAGUCGAAAUCUUUCAAGAUCAUAUCCUAACAAACUUGAGGUCGUUGAUAUGAUAAUCUUGGGGACGUGCCACAACAACCUGGCAUGUGGCAGGACAAAGCAUAUCUUUGAGGCAAUAAAAGCCAAACUGCUCUAUUACCAAAAAAAAAAAAAGCCAAACUGCUCCUGUGGAAAGGCUUAGCUUAGCAUGUGUCAGCAGUCAAGGUUGUAGGACCAAGCUGGAAGGAGAUCAAUCUCAGGCAUUAGAUGGUUAUUCUGCCCUACUUGGUCUGCCCUCCACGUCUGAGGAGACCGGGUGCCUCGAGGAACUUCCAAAGAUGUGGACCACUGCAAGGCAUGGGUGCUGGAUGAAUGCUUGUGCACCGCAUCACACUAGUCAAUAGUUGCCACAACACCAACUCCCCACUUCCAAGAAUACAGCAACGCCUUAGUUUGGGCGAAGGAAGUAACUAACAUUAGACUUUGUACUGCUCCAAAAAAAGAUGCAGAUUCAUGGGUUGCAAAUUCUUUUAUCGAAUGGUUAAAUUCUAUCCUUUGGUCUUCCAAAAGGAUGCCAAUUGUCACAAGAAAAAAGAGUGACACAUGCCAACCGGUUCACUCAUAUGAAUCAAUAUAGAUUGUCAAAUUUCCUAUAAGAAUAUGGGGAAUGGCUUCUCGAGAUUAAGUUGCAGGCUUAUUUAUGACCUCUCUUUUCUUUUCUUUCUAGGGGGUCCAAUCCUUUUUUAAUCUUCUCCCUCUUCUCUCAACUGUAAAAUGGUGUUCUUAUGGAUCCUUUGCGAGGAGGAGGUCUUUGUCAACAUAUUGAGGUAUUCCAGAUAGCUCUUCAAUGGACUAUGGAGAAGGUGGCUAAACUGGAAUCCAGGCUAGGGUUACAUGGCCAAGGUGGCCAAGGUUUGAGCUUCUAGGAUCGGUAGAGAAUGUUGAAGGUCAGACAACAAGUUGCUACCACUGGGAGAAAAGCCCUCCAACUGGUUGAAGAAUACAAGUCGCGAGUCAAUUUCCAACAAGAGAUCGUUGAUUCAUUCCGACAGGACUUCUGAGAAUAUCAAAUGGAAACUACUAGACUUCAGCCAAACAUCAUUUGUUAUGCUUCUUAGCUGGACUCAUCUAAAGAAAAUGUGGGAUUCAUCAGAUGAGCACCCUUCACCGAGGCAUACCGAGUAGACCUUUGGAUGGGUCUCCCUUUGGGGCUUCGGGACAAGGUUUCAGUAUAUGUACUAGCAUAUAGGCUCUAUAGAAAAAAAAUAAUAUUAACUGAUAUAAAAUCAUGUUAAUAAAAAAAAAUAAUACAAAACAAUGCUAACAAAUAAAAAUGUUAUAGCAUCAUGUUAACAAAGGAAAAUAUUAUGGUUGUCAUAUAAUUCUUAAAAUCUCGUGAUCAUCUAUUAUCAUAUGAUCACUUAAAAUCAUCUGAAGACUUUCUAUCAAACUCGAGAUGGUAUACUAUAGGUUCCAACUUGAGUUUUAAAACUAGAUCACGAAUGUACUCAAAAGCUAGCAUAAUAAACUGAUAUGUCUGCUGGUAUGAUUGUUUUAAAUGAUGUGACUAUGAAAAGACAUAAAAGAUAUUCAUAAUAGGAACUUAUGCUACCAAAGUAUGGUUGAAACCAAAUUAUAUAUUCAAGCUUAAAACAGCUAGCUCAUGCAUAUGUAUAAAUACAUCCUUAUCCUAAAUCAAAUUUAGUAACGGAGACCAGGGCAAGAAAUUAUUUGGUAAGAGUUGGUAUUAAUCUUUUCCACUCUAGAUGCCAUGUACUUAAAACCAACCCACGAGCUGUUGUUUUUUUAUUAAUUAUUUCUAAAAUAUAAUAUAGAAUAUAUAUAGUAAGAUAGAUAACAUAAAUAUAAUAUUUUAUAAAAUAAAAAAUAUAUUAAUAAUAUUAUUAGUACUGGUCCAUUUGGUGAAUGGAGAACUGAGCACAAGUUAAGCAUCCAUUUUCACCAUAUAUAGCAGAUAAGAGAUAGACUAAGCUCAGGUCGAUCUAAUUUGAGCUCAAAUCCAGUCGUAUCCUCAAGGGCUUGAUCAAUGUAGAUGUCGAAGCAGCACUAAAAAGCUAAUGGAGGGAGUUUGGGAGCUAUUUGGCUGAGCCGGCAUUAUUUAAAAAAAAAGAAAAGUCAUAAAUGAGAGGUGGGAUUCUAGUGGCUUUUGUUUGGAUGAGAUGGUGGUUGAAGAAAAAUAAGACAAUGUCUUAAUGGAACAGGAAAGGAGAAGCCACUGGUUGUAAACUUCUUGUUUGGAUGAGAUUGCAUUUGAAAAUAAUAAAAAAAAUAUAUAUGUUAAUGAGGAUGAGACACGAAAAGUGAUGUCAUCUCUUUCAAAUAGAAUUUUUUCCUCUCUCACCAACAAAACACAUUUCAUUCUCUCUUUUUAUUUCUCGCCAGCAGAAACUUCUCUCCCACUCUCUCUUCGGUGCAAAUACCUUGCCGACAAAAACUUCUCUUCCUCUCUCUCUAGUGCAAAAACAUCUCAUUCUCUCUCUCCAGCUCUCUCUCACCGACAUAAACUCCUCUUAUUCUCUCUCUCUCUCUCCCUCUCUCUUACAAGAUGAUUGCAAACACCUCUCAUUCGCUCUCUUUCUAAAUUUUCUCUUCAUCUCUCUCUCAUCAAAACCAUAAUCCUCCUCUCAUUCUCUCUUCUUUGAAACUAUCCAUCCGAGAUACCUCCUUCCUCUCUCUUCAUCUCACCAGUUGUCGGAAUCUUUUGUUCUUCGCUAAUUAAGUGCAAGGUACAUCUUAACUAUCAUUACUUAUUAGAGGCUAAAUAUUUCAUUGAGUGUAUAAAAUAUUAUAUAUAUGAUAUUCCAAAAAAUAAGUAUAAGACAAUAAAUUAAAUUUCAUAACAUAAAUUCUUUUGCCUAUAAAUGAUCAAACAACAUUUUAGUGAUAGUUACAUGCUCAUAAUUAUUGUUCUACAUAAGCUAGUAGUUGUGUAUUUUAGUAGCUAGUUUUUAUAUUAUUGACUGUAUUUGAUAUUAAACCUUAUAUUAACAUAGAAGAAUGAUAUUCUCUAUUAAUUAGAUCCUUCUAUAUUAUUAGCCUUCAUGUUUGUUACUAUUAUAUGUUAAGAACGCUUACUAGUAUACAUUAAAGAAAAAUCUACUUAAAGAACAAAGUAUUAUAGACGAGAGUCGUACUCAGUUUCAAUAGUUAUGAUACAGUGUAACGAAGCUGAAAAAAUAAAUGAUAAUUAUGUCAUAUUUAAAGAUCUUCUACUUUCUAACUAUAAUAUCAUAAAAAGUUCAGUAGGUUCAAGCACCCAAUGAAGGUUACAGCAAAAAAAAUAACGAACAUGCAAGAAAUAUCAUCGAAAGGGUCAUAAUAUCUGAACAUACAAGGUGAAUGUUACUAAAAGCUAUAUCUUCAUAAUUAAUUUUUAUAUAUUAUAUUUUGAUAGAAUCUUUUUCUUAUGACUUACUCGAUGGUUAUACUUUAUGUAGGGAGAUGAUUUCGAAGCCUACAUCAAUGGCGGUUCAUUUAAGAAAGAGAAAUUCAAUGACCAUAGAGACUCAUUAGUGUUUUAGAUUAUAUAUUUAUAAUUUUAUAAGGAUGAGCACUAUUUUGACUUGAAUAGGUGUUAUAUGUCAAUAAUGUAUAUAAUUGUUCAAUCAUUAAAAUAUAAAUAUAUGGUUGUACAUAGUUAUGAAUGAAUGUAUUGCUCCUAUGCAAUGAUAUGAUUUGUUCUGCUCGAUUUUGUACAUUUAAUAUCACAUUGAUGAUUAUGAACUUUAGAUAUUUACUCUUUAUAAUAGAUAAUGCAAAGUGAAUUUAGCACAAACUAACCCAUGUUAAGAAAUCUUUUUAAUUAAUUUGAGUGUUAUGUUUCAUAUGACUUACUGGUGCAGGGAGAUCAUUUCAAAGCCUAUAUUAGUGGUGAUUUAUUUGAGGAAGAGCUAUUGACGAUCAUAUAGGCUCAUCAGUGUUUUAGAUUAUUUGCUUAUAAUUUUGUUAUGAUAGACCUAUUUUGACUUAGGUACGUGUUAUAUAUAUGUAAGUGAUAUAUAUGAUGUUUAGUCAUUAAAAAGUAAAGAUAUAUGGUUGUAUAUUGUUCUGAAUGAAUGUAUUACUCUAUUAAACUCUACUUUUCAUAAUAAAUAGAAACUCUCCAUGAUAAAUAUAAAAUUUUCUCCUAAAUAGUUGGUUCAUUCAAAAGGUAUCCAAUAGGAUAAACAAUAAGAGAGGAGGAUAAAUGCUAACUUCUGAUAGAAUAAUCACAAACUAUGCGAGGAUAAAUACAAACUCCAUAUAAUAAAUACAAAUAUAUCCAAGAUAAAUAUAAAUUUUGGGAGUUACUCUCUGUCUUAUAUGAGACUAUGGUAGAAAAACAUAAACUAUCCUAGAAUAAACAUAAACUCCAUAUAACAAAUAGAAUAUAAUAAAUAGAAACUCUAUGGUGAUAAAUACAAGCCAUGCCUAAUAAAUACAAACUCAAGGACUAAACCUUAGGUCAUCCAAGAGUUCUCCUAGGAUAAAUAAUAAGAGAGAAGGAUAAAUACUAAUUUUUGAUGAAAUAAACAUAAACUAUAUGAGGAUAAAUAUAAACUCUAGAUAAUAAAUACCAAUAUGCCUGGGAUAAAAAAAAUUUUGGGAGUUGCUCUCUGUCUUAUAUGGGACCAUGGAAGGAUAAAUACAAACUAUACCAAAAUAAACAUAAACUCCAUAUAAUAAAUAAAAGCUUUAUGAUGAUAAAGAUAAAUUAUCUAAAAUAAAUACAAACUUGAGGAUCAAAUCUUAAGUCAUCCAAAGGUCCUCUUAAGAUAAACAAUAAGAGAAGAGAAUAAACACUAACUUCUGAUGUCAUAAACAUAAACUAUACAAGGAUAAAUAUAAAUUUCAUAUAAUAAAUAUAAAUAUGCUUAGGAUAAAUACAAACUUUGAUGGAUGCUCUCUAUCUUGUAUAGGACAAUGGUAGGAUAAACACAAAUUAUUUCAGAAUAAAUACAAACUUCAUAUAAUAAAUAGAAACUCAAUAUAAUAAACACAAAUCCUACUAUAAUAAAUACAAACCAUCUAAAAUAAACAAAAUCUCAAUGAUUUUUGGAAGUCAAAUUUGUAUUUAUUCUAGACGAUUUGUGUUUAUUGCUAUAGAGUUUGUAUUUAUUAUAUGAAGUUUCUAUUUAUUAUAUGAAGUUUGUAUUUAUUCUAGGAUAAUUUAUGUUUAUCUUGUCAUAGUCCCAUACAAGAUAAAGAGCAACCCACAAAGUUUAUGUUUAUCCUGAGAAUAUUUGUAUAUAUUAUAUAAAGUUUAUAUUUAUUCUAUCGAAAGUUAGUAUUUAUCCUCUUCUCUUGUUGUUUAUUCUAGGACGAUCCUUAAAUGAAUAAAAUUUUGAUCUCUGAGUUUGUAUUUAUUUUGGCUAAUUUAUGUUUAUUAUCAUAGAAUUUAUGUUUAUUAUAUAAAAUUUUUAUUUAUUAUAUGAAGUUUGUGUUUAUCUUGUCAUAGUCCCAUAUAAGAUAAAGAGCAACCCCCAAAAUUUAUGUUUAUCAUGGGCAUGUUUAUAUUUAUUAUAUGGAGUUCAUAUUUAUCCUCACAUAGUUUGUGUUUAUUCUACAAAAUGUUGGUAUUUAUCUUCCUUUCUUGUUGCUUAUUCUGAGAGGAUCCUUGAAUGAACAAAGUUUUGGUUCUUGAUGAGUUUGUAUUUAUUUUAAAUGGUUUGUUUUUAUCAUCAUAGAAUUUGUGUUUAUUAUAUGAAAUUUAUAUUUAUCAUAUAGAGUUUAUGUUUAUUUUGGAAUAGUUUAUAUUUAUUCUGCUAUGUUCCCAUACUAGAUAAAGAGUAACCCUCAAAAUUUAUGUUUAUUUUAGAUAUAUUUAUAUUUAUUAUAUAAAAUUUAUAUUUAUUCUUACAAAGUUUGUAUUUAUUCCAUCAGAAGUUAGUAUUUAUCAUUCUCUCUUAUUGUUUAUCCUAGGAGGACUGAAGUUGAUCCCUGAGUUUGUAUUUAUUCUGGAUAAUUUAUAUUAAUCAUCAUAAAAUUUAUGUUUAUUAUAUAGAGUUUCUAUUUAUUAUACAGAAUUUAUAUUUAUUCUGUAAUAAUUUAUAUUUAUGCUAUCAUGGCCCCAUAGAAAAUAAUAUCACAACUUUCUACGUUUGUGUUUAUUAUUGGGCUAUUCAUAUUUACUUUAGAAAGUUUGUGUUUAUUUCUAUCAAUAAUUUAUAUUUAUCAGUCUUUCUAUCAUGGGAUGACAUAAAUUUAUGAAUGAAUAAGAUUAAAACUCAAAAACAAUCAUAAACAGAGUUUGAAUGACAACUGACAUGCCAGUGAUUUCAAAAUCCUAAGUGCAGUACAACAAAAAUCACUCCUUAGAGAUAAGCAUAAGCUGACCUAUUAUAACUUCAAACACAAAUUUACAUAGAAAAUAAUAAUCACACUAAUUGCAUAACUAAAAAUUAGAUGAUCUGUUAAUAAAUAUGGUAACAACAACCUAUCAACAAGUUCAAAGACCCACAGAAAAUAAAUUCAUAUAACAUCAAAUCCAUUGUAGCAAUCUAGAAAUGAUACAAUUAAUUCACCUAUUACAAAAUAUAUUCAUAUAUGGAAAUAAUAGUUCCAUGGCUGCAAUUAAAUUUUCAUUGUAGCAAAAAAGGUUCAUACAAGUUUAUUCACAAUUCAACUCAAUAUUUUGACACAAUAUAAAUAUCUUAUCAAUGUACACAAAUAAUGAGUGGAGCCAACACACAUAUGCUCACAAAACUAACAUAAAAUAAACUAUGAUGAUUUCACUUGGUGAUUCUUCAUGAUCAUCUAUGCAACAUACUUGGCACGCAACUCUAGCAUAGGAGUAUUCAUAAUUGUGAUCCAAGCCCCCAUCACCAUACUCUUCAUAAAAUGCAUGAUGUAGAUGGCAAUCAGGUCUACAAAUUAAGGCAUGCUCAUAUUCAAUAAAAAAAUAAAUGGCACACUGCAUUAGUUGGCAUGGAUGUGUUUUGGCACAUAAGGGGCUGAAAAUUAGAAAAUACGAUUUUUCUAAUAACAUAAGGGGCAUAAUACAUUAUUUGACAUGGUGCAAUAGUUGGCACAAGCUAUUUUUGGCAUGGACCAUUAGCUAGCAUAGUGUAUUAGUUGGCAUAGAUAUGAUUCGGUUGGAAACAUUACUCAUUUUCAUAUAUAAAUUUAUUUAUAUUUGAUUCUUAUUAGAAAGGAUGUCUUACAAAUUCAACCUUAUUGAUUCAUAGGAGGUUCUAUGUUCUUAUUUAAUUGAAAAGUGCUUAGAUAUUCCACAAAGAUGGCCAUAGUUGGAGAAAGAAAAAAGAUAGAAAGACUGUUAGAGAAGCUCAUCAAAAGCUAAAGGUAAGAUGAUCUUCUUCUAGAUGAUUAUAUAUCACAGUAUUAUCAUGGGUCUUCUUCUAUAUGUUUAAUAUAUCUCAAUAUUAUUAUGGAUUUCUGUAACAAGUUUCAGUAUAUGAAAAAUAUGUUUAAGUGUGAGGAAAACACUGAUGCAAGAGUAUAAAGGACAUAUUAAAUGCUAAGUGUGUAAGGUCAGAUAUCUAAUGGCAGUGAACUUUGAGAAGCAGGUGUUAUUUCUCCUAAUUUUUUAGCAUUAGUUUUAUGUUAAGUGAUGACACAUAUGCUGAAUUCCAUCUGUUUGAUGAUUAUGUCAAUUUUACUCUAUGUGUGUGUGUGUGAGUUUUGUGCAUGCAUGUGGUUAUGUUUGUGUUUCAUUUGAUACACAACCAUGAUCUUUGGCAAUAUACUAGUUGGCACAUUCAUGCCUUUCUAAACUAACUUCAUCUAGUAUUGAAUGAAUGGAUGAAAACAGUGGGUAAAUAAUAAUGAAUAGUAUCACAGUUGGUAUAUGCAUGGCUCUAACAGAAACUGCUAGGUAAACUAAAAUAUCAAAAAUAUAUAAUCUACCAAUAUAAGAAAAAAUUUUUAUAAGUAUGUAAUAUCUUUGGAUGAAGUCAGAUGCUAGUGUGGUAGGAGAAAUCCAUUAAGUGUCAGAACUGGACUGGCAGUAGUGGGUUGGUGGUGGUGGGGUGGUGGCAGAAGACCCAAGAAAAAGGUCUGAUGGUGGUGUGCUGGCAGUGCAAGACUCAAGAAAAAAGUACGACGAUGGUGGGGUGGGGUUUGGGAAGUCCCAAGAAGGCCGACGAUGCACUACAAUAAAAUUGAUUUUUAACGGCAAAUUGCUGGUAGUAUUUCUUAUUAUAUGUCGCUAAAAUUCUAUAGUAUUUUGAUAAAAAUACCAUUAUCUUUCAAUAAGUAUUUUUAUUAAUGGUAUUUUAUCAUAAAUGCUGCUAUAAAUUUAUAUUUUAUGAUAUUUUAUUAUAAUACUACUGUAAAUUUAUAUUUUUAUGGUAUUUAAUAAAUAUACCAAUAAAUAAUAGCAUAAUUUAUAGAAUUUUAAAAAAUUAUCAUUAAAUUUUAAAUUAUUAAUUAUAUAUAAAGCUUGAUUUAGUCAUACUGAUCUCAUAAAAUAUGUUAUUAUACAUAUAUAUUCUUUGUUAAAUGUAUGAUCUGAAAAGUCAAUUGUUGGCUGACACAUUACAAUUUUUAAGAUCUAUUUUUAUACUUGAUUUAUUGAAAUUAAUAAAAUGAUAUUUUCUUAUCCAUUCUUGUGUAAUGUGUAUGUGAAUCAUCCAAGGAGUUAAUGGACAACGACAAAUAUUCUUAAGAGUUAAAAAUUUGAGACAUGUGUCAUUAUAGAUUAACUCCUGAAUUACUUUUGAUCAUUUAAUUAUCAUGGGUACAGUGAUGGAUCCAUCAAGAUCAGUACACAGAUCGCUUCUUUUUUAAAUAGAUAAGUCUCGAGUCUACAGUAUGAAGAUACUAGAGUGACAGUACAAGUGGUUGUUAGAGAACAAUGAUACUGAGUAUGAUCAAAAAUGAGAAGUCACUUAGAUGUCUAUUCACUCAUUAGUGACUGUCUCGAUGCUGUAGUUGUUGAGUAGUUCUUUGACCUAUGGUGCCUCGACUGCUCAUAGUAGAGUUGCUAUAGUUUGACAACACAUAAACAUGCUUCCUAGCCAUUCGGAGCCUUGUGAUGUUCGUUGGCUGCAAUAAGUUCACCGUAAGAGUAGGGUGUGCAUUUGUAGGAGAUCUAUUGGUCUUAGUAGUUGAGGAGUUGUCCAAUGCGAUCUAAGAGGCUGAGUUCUUAAGCCUGUAGCCAUAGUAGUAUGAUAAUAAAAAAAAAUAUUCAUAGGAUUCAUAAUUGGACUCAAACUAAUUAAGUCUUGCAUAUGAUAGAUACUUAGGGUUUGACGAGUUUUCAUGAUCUGCAUCAUGUCGGACUAUCGAUAGAAGAACUAAAUCACACGUUAACUAUAUCUAGAGGUUCUACCUUUAGUUUUAUUGGAUUACCACUAUAUAUUGGUAGAUACUAUUGGUGGAUUGUGAGAAUUCACUAGGAUCAUUCUGGAUUGAUGAUCCUUGAUGGGUAUAAGUUAGAAUUGUUCCAACCUAUUGAAAGGAGUUUCAAUGAUACUAUGAUGGAAAUCAUGGCAUGUCUCGCUAUUAGACAGAAUUGAACCUAUGGGGCUACACACAAAAAGAGGUUGAUUAAGUCAUUUGAUUGGAUCAAGAUCAAAUUAUCAUUUGGAUUGAUGAUUUGGAUCAAUUUGUAAAAGUUACAAAUUUAGUAACUGCUAAUUAUUAGCAUUAGAGGCUUAAUUGUAAAUAUUGUAAUAUUAAUUGGCCAAAUUAAAUUAUAGAUCAAGUUCUAAUUAAUUUAAAUCAGAUUUAAUUUAAUUGGGUUUGAUUUAAUUUGAGGCUAAUUGAGUUUAAUAAUCCAAGUUGGACUUGGAUUCCAAUUCUAAUUGGAUUAGGAUUGAUAAUCUUUUUGAAUUGGAUUCAAAUCAGAUUCGAAUUAGAUUCGAACCAAACCCAAAUUGAUCCUAAACCUCACCUAAUUGGAUUAGGUUAAGAGGAUCUCAGUUUGACUAAGAUUUUCUCUCCUUUUUAGCGUGGAAAAGGGGAGAAGGCGGCAUCCUUCUCCGAGCGCAUGUGGAAAAAGGAGGGGCGCCAACUAUUAGCACCCUAUCCUUUUGAGAUACUCUCUCUAGCUCAAUUUUAAAACUUAAUCAAAUCCUAACUAAUUAGAAUCAGAUUAAGAAUUUGUUUAAUUUAUUUCUCCUUUUUGUGGCAUGGAGAUUGAGGAAGAAUUUGAUUCCUCCCAAGGUUUGGGUGUGGGCCUCCUUGUGGCCGCCCACCCUUGCACCUAUAAGAGGGGUGUUCCACCUCUUGGAUGCCCCAACCAAGUUUUUCAUUAGACUUUCAUGGUAAAAAGGGAAAAAAUCAAAGAGAAAUAAGAGAGAAAAAGGAGAGAAAAAAAAAGAAGAGAAAGGGUUCUCUUCUAGUAUCUUCUUCGAGAUCCUGCGCAAAGGUGUUCGUGCAGUUUUCUUCUAUGACAAGAUCCAAUUUUAUAGAGUAGAUCUGAAAGAGACUAGCACCUCGAUGAUAAAAAAGACUUCAAAUUUUCCUCAGUCCUAUGUGGGUAUCCAUAAAGGUUAGAUAAGUGCAUGGCUACAAACAGAAUUAGGAUUCGAUCCAAAUCUAACUUGCAAAUGGAUAGCGAUCCCAAUGUAAGAUUUUAAUCCUCUUUAUUUCUAUUUUCAGAUCUAUAAUCUGAUUUUAUCAUGCAUGUUAGAUCCCUUUUAGGUGAUAUUAGAUGAGAUCUUGGACAUGCAAUAAGUUAAAAUUUUUAAUCUAUGCUUUUCGCUUCAUUUUCAUGAGAUGAAAAAAAUUCUACAUACUGAAAUCACCGAAGUCCAACAUUCUUAACAUUGCUUAUCUAAUGACGUGAAUGUAUAUUAAUAAGUUAAAUAAAUGAUACUUAUAUAUUAAUAAUAUAAGUUAUAGAUUGAUAGUUAAGAGCUUGCUAUUCAACAAAUUUGUAUCGAUAUUUUUUAAAAAUAUCGAUAAUUAAUUGCUAAUAUUAUCUUAAAACAGUACAUAAGAAAAUAUCAUAAAAAUGCUGCUAAAGAUAUUUAUGGUAUUUUUUCUGAUCUAUAGCGAUACUUAAACAUGCCAUUAAUGGUCAUUUUUGUCGUAGUAACAGGAGGUCGCAGUCACCGGGUCUGCGGAAGAGUCGUUGGUGGUGGGAUUAAGAGAGGAUAGUGGAGGGGUGGAUGAUUUGGGAGGAGAGGAGGAUGCCAGAUGGAUGGGGGGUUUUGGGGAAGAGGAGGAGGGCCAAUAGUUGGAGGGUUUUGGGGAAGAGGAGAGCAAACGAGUCAAGGGGUUUGGGAGGAGAAAAAGAUAGUGGCUAAUGGGUGGGGUAUUUGGGUGGAGAGGAGGGCCGAUGGCUGAGGGGUUUGUGGGGAGAGGAGGGUGGAUGGAUCGGGGUUUGGGAGGAGAGAAAGAUGGUGGCUAAUAGGUGGGUGGUUUGGGAGGAGAGAAGGAUGGCGGCCAAGGGGGGCUUGGAGGAGAGGAGGAUAGCAACUUAGGAGGAGAGAAAGAUGGCAAGCUAGAGAGAGAGAAGAGAGGAGGAUGACAGCUUGGGAGGAGAGGAGAACCAUGAUCUCCUUUGGAGAGAGAGAAAGGAGAGAGAAUCGAGGACGGCGGGUUGGGAGGAGAAGAGGAUAGUCGACUUCUUUGGAGAGAGAAAAAAAAGAGAGGAGCCAUUUGAAAUGACGGAUCUGCCCGCGAGUCCUAUCCCUCAUUCAUGACUUCUCUUUUUUUUUUAAACAAUGCCAGAUUAGCCAAACAGCACCAAAACCCCCUCCAUUAGCUUUUUAGCACUGCAUUAAGAUUCGUGCCAAUCCAACGGCUUGGGAUUUGAUUGGAUUUGGGCUCAAAUCUAACAGCCGGGGACUUGAUUGGAUUUAGGCUCAGAUCCGAUCGAUCUAAGCCCAGUCUAUCUUUAAUAGAUAAUAUAUAAAAUAUAUAAUAAAUUAUAUAAUCAAAUAGAAUAUAUAUAUUGACUUUAUUUAUUAUCCAGAAAUAACAUCCACAUGGGGAAUGAAAAGAUCUGCACUAUCACACACACACACAUAUAAUAGAUAAUAAAUUAUUUAAUAAAAUAGAAUAGAUAUUAUAAGAGCAUUUUUAUUAUCUAAAAUAAUGAUAAUAUUAAUGAUAUCAUUAAUAUAGGUACCCACAUGAUAAAUAAUGGAGAGCUCUAUACAAGGAGCACCUUUAUUUUAGUUUAUAUAUAUAUAGAUAUAUAUUGGUAUAUAUUGAUAUCUUUAGAUAUAUAUAGAUGUUAUUGUUGCUAAUCCAGAAAUAUCAAUGUGGUUUGCAUUUGUGAACCUGCAAAAUGACAAACAAAAGGGUGAAGGCUCGUCGGAUUAGGGGUUGGGUCUUCUAAUAUUUAAAUCAUUAAAGGUUUUAUGGAUGGAAAAUGAAAGAGGAAAAAAGAACAAAAAAUAGAGGAAUAGAGUUUCCCCUAACCAAGGUGAUUUUUCAUUUAUCGUCAUUACCUCUUUUGGAGAACCAUUGGAACAUAUUUAUAGCUAGUCCAAAUUUUUCAAGAUCUUAUCCUAACAAACUUGAGGUCAUUGAUAUAAUAAUCUUGAGGACAUGCCACAACAACCUGGCACG
Molecule: long non-coding RNA, 12605 nt
Filed under: Elaeis guineensis (African oil palm)
Lineage: Eukaryota; Viridiplantae; Streptophyta; Magnoliopsida; Arecales; Arecaceae
Description: long non-coding RNA (EGUI_LNC032459)
Source: RNAcentral